RNAcentral lists this ribosomal RNA (542 nucleotides) under uncultured archaeon. RNAcentral describes it as "bacterial SSU rRNA". It matches the Rfam family "Archaeal small subunit ribosomal RNA", at positions 457 to 997 of the family's 1478-position model. The record is from RNAcentral.
GUCAGCAGCCGCGGUAACACCGGCGGCCCGAGUGGUGAUCGUGAUUAUUGGGUCUAAAGGGUCCGUAGCCGGUUUGGUCAGUCCUCCGGGAAAUCUGAUAGCUCAACUAUUAGGCUUUCGGGGGAUACUGCCAGACUUGGAACCGGGAGAGGUAAGAGGUACUACAGGGGUAGGAGUGAAAUCUUGUAAUCCCUGUGGGACCACCUGUGGCGAAGGCGUCUUACCAGAACGGGUUCGACGGUGAGGGACGAAAGCUGGGGGCACGAACCGGAUUAGAUACCCGGGUAGUCCCAGCCGUAAACGAUGCUCGCUAGGUGUCAGGCAUGGCGCGACCGUGUCUGGUGCCGCAGGGAAGCCGUGAAGCGAGCCACCUGGGAAGUACGGCCGCAAGGCUGAAACUUAAAGGAAUUGGCGGGGGAGCACAACAACGGGUGGAAGCCUGCGGUUUAAUUGGACUCAACGCCGGACAACUCACCGGGGGCGACAGCAAUAUGUAGGCCAAGCUGAAGACUUUGCCUGAAUCGCUGAGGGGAGGUGCAUGG